RNAcentral lists this ribosomal RNA (260 nucleotides) under Arthrobacter sp. ISO113_OTU247. RNAcentral describes it as "partial 16S ribosomal RNA". It matches the Rfam family "Bacterial small subunit ribosomal RNA", at positions 29 to 289 of the family's 1533-position model. RNAcentral also lists the same sequence under 1 other name. Lineage: Bacteria; Bacillati; Actinomycetota; Actinomycetes; Micrococcales; Micrococcaceae. The record is from RNAcentral.
AUGAACGCUGGCGGCGUGCUUAACACAUGCAAGUCGAACGAUGAUCCCAGCUUGCUGGGGGAUUAGUGGCGAACGGGUGAGUAACACGUGAGUAACCUGCCCUUAACUCUGGGAUAAGCCUGGGAAACUGGGUCUAAUACCGGAUAUGACUCCUCAUCGCAUGGUGGGGGGUGGAAAGCUUUAUUGUGGUUUUGGAUGGACUCGCGGCCUAUCAGCUUGUUGGUGAGGUAAUGGCUCACCAAGGCGACGACGGGUAGCCG